Molecule: long non-coding RNA, 201 nt
Filed under: Homo sapiens (human)
Lineage: Eukaryota; Metazoa; Chordata; Mammalia; Primates; Hominidae
Description: non-protein coding lnc-NPTX2-4:1
Source: RNAcentral
UCACCUACAGGCUGCGGUACUUACAGGUAUGCACGGGAGGGGUCUGGGCAGUGUGGCUUGCAGCCUGGGAAGAUGUUUAUAAGACGUUCCCAUGAUGAGGCAGUUUGACCCUUGUUCCCACAGAAUGAGAUAGUGAUGUUCCUCGGACUUUUUCCCAACAGAAUGUGAUCAAGUCAGGCAGCUGGGCGGGCUGUUUCUCAC